AAAUGAAUUGACGGGGGCCCGCACAAGCAGUGGAUUAUGUGGUUUAAUUCGACGCAACGCGAAGAACCUUACCAGGGCUUGACAUCCAACUAACGAAGCAGAGAUGCAUUAGGUGCCCUUCGGGGAAAGUUGAGACAGGUGGUGCAUGGUUGUCGUCAGCUCGUGUCGUGAGAUGUUGGGUUAAGUCCCGCAACGAGCGCAACCCUUAUUGUUAGUUGCUACGAAAGAGCACUCUAGCGAGACUGCCGUUGACAAAACGGAGGAAGGUGGGGACGACGUCAAAUCAUCAUGCCCCUUAUGUCCUGGGCUACACACGUAAUACAAUGGCGUUUAACAGAGGGAAGCGAAGGAGCGAUCCGGAGCAAAUCCCCAAAAAGCGUCUCAGUUCGGAUUGCAGGCUGCAACUCGCCUGCAUGAAGUCGGAAUUGCUAGUAAUCGCGGAUCAGCAUGCCGCGGUGAAUACGUUCCCGGGCCUUGUACACACCGCCCGU
RNAcentral lists this ribosomal RNA (491 nucleotides) under uncultured bacterium. RNAcentral describes it as "bacterial SSU rRNA". It matches the Rfam family "Bacterial small subunit ribosomal RNA", at positions 903 to 1397 of the family's 1533-position model. The record is from RNAcentral.